RNAcentral lists this long non-coding RNA (5217 nucleotides) under Manihot esculenta (cassava). Its description in RNAcentral is "long non-coding RNA (MESC_LNC010593)". Lineage: Eukaryota; Viridiplantae; Streptophyta; Magnoliopsida; Malpighiales; Euphorbiaceae. The record is from RNAcentral.
AUAAAUCCAAUUAAUAAUCGAUAUAUUAUUAAAUUACAUUUUUAUUACAGCCAUAAUCAGUACAGUGCAAAACAUGAUUACAUACCUUAAUAACAAAAGAAGUUUCCUUAUUUUUUUGGGACAAAGGCCCUUAGGCACUUAAAAUUUGUCUUAAUGAUCAUGGUCGAAGUUAAUUUCUUUUACUAAAUCAAAUAAAUUCUUCAAAUUCUCAAACUAGCUGGAGAAAGUGUAGAAAGCUUAUAUAAGUAUUAAACUAAUAUUCUACGUACUCUCUCUUAAACAUUACUAAAAACAUACUUAUGAUAUUUAGUCUUGAUAGUAAAUAUAAAAAUAUUAUUAAAUUUACCAUUACUAUGCUAGUUUUUUUUUCUAAAUUUUAAUAUUAAUAAUUUGAAAUGUAGUUAAUAAAUCUCGUAUUAACUACCCAUUAAUUAUCAUUUAGUUUUAUAAAAUACUUAGUUUGGUUGUUCCCUUUGUAGUAAGAUCAUAUGAUGAUUAAAGAAAUUUCCAACAUGCUCAUCAGGCUUCCACCUUCCAUGAUCAUAACAGCAGAUAAUAAUGGUACUGAAACUUUUGUUAGCAAACAACCCACCAACAGGUUUAUUUAAUUUUAUAAUUAAUAGUACAUGCCCGAGUGGUUGCAAAUAUAUAAAGAGAGUUAUGAAAGUUUUACAUCAAACCCCCUACUGAUGGCGUAAUCCACGAAACCAUGAAACUCGCCUAAGUCGAUGAAGCCAUCUCCAUUAGUAUCAUAAUGGGUGAGCACACGGCCGGCUCUAUAACCAGGGAAAAAUCCACCAAGUUCACUGAAAGCUUCACUUAUCUCUUCCCUGCUCAGACGAUUGUCUUUGUUCUUAUCAAAUCGACUGAAUAGUUUCCUUAACUGCACAUCAGAAACUGGAACUCCUUUGUAUCUUACAAAAAAACCCAUCUUAAUUUUGGAUUAGGGUUUAGGUAGGUACUGGACUGAGGAUCAGUUUGUGCUGUGGCUUUGUAGACAUGGCAGACAAUGGUUUUAUAGAACAUCUUCACUGUGUCACUUAAGCUUCACAUUGUUCCUUCUUAUCUUCGUUAUCUUUAUUCUUUGAGGGAUACAAAUGUUGAUUCCACGCAUUUCAUCAAGAAAAGUUUCAAUAAAGUUAGUCUCACAUAUAUUAUGAGUCAAAUUAUUUUAAAAUAUUACUCUCUUUAUUUUAUAUUUUUUUUUUUCAUUUUAUUUUUUUAUACAUGUUAAAAAAUAUAAUUUUUUUAUUAUUUUUUAAUUAUAUUUAUUUUAAAUAUAUUAAUUUUAUUAAACACUAAAAAAUAUUUUGAAAUAUUUUUUAAAAAUAAAUUAAAAUAAAAUAGCGUUAUAAUCGAUUUAACUUUCCAAGAUGGAUAAUGGGAAUCGAUUUUGGGUGGCAACAAUUGCAACUCAAGGAAUCCGGAAAAUGCAAAAUGACUGAAAUUAUUGAAUUUUUCUUAAGAGAAAAGAAUGUUUUUUAAAAAAAAGGUUAUAAAUAAAUUGAUUAUUUUUGAGUGGAGUAACGUGAUACACGAGAAGUGAGGUCAACAGUCCAGAUCAUUUUUAGGCACUAAUGACGUCAUAAAUGUGGUCUCAUUUUGAGAUGUAUACAUAUAUAACAAUUACAUUUUUAUCAAUCCAGAAAUCUGCAAUAAUAUAUAUAUAAAUUUGAUUUUAUUUUUAUUUUUUAUUAUUAAAUAAAAAAUUUAAAGGAUCGAAAAUUCAAACUCAGUUCUGUCAUACAAGUGUUAUAAUUUAUUUAUGUGCAGGCUUACACCUUUAAUUAAAAUAUAUAAGCUUAAAAGAGAGGAUAAAUAUUUGUAGGAAAACCCUCUUAUAUUAAGCAUAGGCACCAAAACAUAUUAUUUGUAUAAUUUGAAACUAUGAUAAAAUUUAAUUAUAAAAAGAAAAAAAAAAUGAAUGCAUGAUGCAAAGCAUCAAGAAUAAAGUAGUACUUCAAAUUAAAGAUAUGUAGUAUAUUUUCUUUUCAAGCGGGAAAGAGACUUAAAAAGAUGUCAUGUUAAACUUAUUAAUAAUAAUUGAAAUUCACAUUUAUAUAAUUAAAAAAUUUCAGUUUUAAUCUAUGUUUUAAAUAAAAAUUAUAGAGAGAUUUAUUAUUUAGUUUCUAAAUAUUAUUAUUAUUAAAAAAUUGAUUCUUAAUUUUAAAAAAUUUAUUAAAAUAUUUAUUUAUCAAUAAAAUAAUUAUUUUAUUUAAUUUUAUUUAUUUUUAUAAUUAAAAAUAUAGUAAAAAAUUAAAUUAUUUUUUUAAAAAAAUUAUUUUAUUGAUGAAUAAAAAAAAUAAACAUAUUUUAAUAAAUUUUAAAAAAUAUAAAUAUCAAUUUAUUAAUGAUGAUAAUAUUUAAAAAUUAAAUGAUAAAUUUUUUUAAAUUAUAAAACUUGAAUGUAAUUUUUGUUAAAAGUAAGGGUAGAAAAGAGAGUAGAGAAGCAAGACAAGAAGUAAUAGCUGCUAAAAAAAACUUAUUUGAAGUGUUUGUAUCAUACAUAUAUAGGUUUUUUUACAAAAUUACUUAAAUACCCCUACUUAUUUUUUAAAAUUGAAGGGGCCAUGACCCUUGCACCCGCCUCUUAAGAUACUAUUAUUAUACGUCUAAUAAUUUAUAAAUAUUAAUAAUUGAUUAUUUAUAUGAAAUUUAUAAUAAUUAAUUUUUAUAAUAAAAUUGUUAUAUGGGGUUUCAGAUUCUAUUUUCUACUUUUUACUUUUUAAUUUUUAAUUUUUAAUUUUCAAUUUCCAAUUUCCAAUUUCCCUUUUAAAAACAUAGUUGCACCAUAAAAUUUAUCAUGUAUGAAUUAAUAACUGAAAACAUUAUAUUACAGUAAAAAAUCAAGCAUCUAUAUCUAAUAUGGUAAGAUUCAGCAGUAAUUUAAGAAUUGCUUAGCUCUAGCAGUUUUACUUUUUUCUUGAAAUUUUUAAGUUCUAAACUUCUAAUCAUUUAAAUGUUUAUUGUCUCCCUUAGAUGUUUUAUAUUUAAUAUGAAUUUAUUAAUUAAGAUUAAUGUAUAAAAAUCAUGUUAUGUCAUUUAGAUUUAUUUUAACAUCUAAAAAUAUUAUACAAAUAUGAAUAAUUUAUUGGAAUUACAAAGUAUAUAUUAUAUAUUUAUUGAAAAGAAUUAAUCAUGAAAAUACAAAAAAAAAAAGAUUUUUCUUUUCUGUUUAUAAUUACUCUUUCUGAUUGUGUGAGAGAAUAUUCAAAUUAUUUUAUAGUUCAAAUUUAAUUAAUUAACAUUUUUUAUAAUAACUACAACAAUAGCCAUAGCAUGGUUUUACAAACUAGUAAAAUUUUAAUAUUGAACGAGUCGUUGCUCAAAACUCAUCCACAUGAAUUAAUCUUGUUGCUUCCUACUUUGCUCUGCAAUUUUGUACAUUGCAGUGCAAAAGUUCUCCAAAAAUAGUGCCAGUCACUUCAAAAGCUUAACCACGUUGUGAAUUUGGCUUCUGAAGAAGUGGAGAACAUGGCUUCGGUAUCAGUUGUGCAGCUUCUGAUGAAAAAACUACAUGCUAUAUAUCCUCAGUGAUAAAGAAGUUAAUAAUCCAAGAUUGAAUAAGCAAAUUAGCUGCGUUAUGGAGAAAUUAAAAGAGCUUCAUGCAGACUUGAGAGUUGAACAAUUUGUUCAACAAAUCAAAUAAUGCAUGUGUCACCCACCUAUAAAGAGAAGCAGAAAUAAAAAUGGUGAUCAACAAUAUACAACUCAAUUUGAAAAAGUAUUUCAAAUAAACAUGUGGAACUUCUAAACCUGUUCAAAAGAAACCGUGCAUCCUAUUAAACAAGCAUUUCAAAAGAAUUACUUAUGCUCUCUUUGCCGAUCAAUAUGCCUUGGAUGAAAUAUUUAUGCAUCCCAAAAUUAAACUAGCCAAUUCAAAAGCUAAACCAAACAUUUCAGAUGAACAGUUUAAGUAUGUAUCUGAGCCGAGCAAUUCAGAAGCUAACCCAGAUUUUUCAGAUGAACAAUUUGAACGUACUCUUUAACACCAGCACUUCAGAAGUUAAGCCAAGCGUUUCAGACCAACAAUUUGUGCAUUCUCCUGAAUCAAGCAGUUAAAAAGCUAAACCAGUUAAGAAUAUUACGUACUUUCUCUUAAGCAUUACUAAAAAUAUAUUCAUAAUACUUAUUCUUGAUAGUAAAUAUAAAAAUAUUCAAAAUAUUAUUAAAUUUACCAUUACUAUGCUUAUUUUUUUUUUUUAAUUUUAAUAUUAAUAAUUUGAAAUGUAGUUAAUAAAUCUCGUAUUAACUACCCAUUAAUUAUCAUUUAGUUUUAUAAAAUACUUAGUUUAGUUGUUCCCUUUGUAGUAAGAUCAUAUGAUUGGAUAAUAGUUCCUUCUUCUUAUAUUUUUUGCACCUCAAAAAGUGUAUAUCUAUCAUUCAAGAUUCCUGAGCUAAUAUCGCGUCCUCCCUAUUUUAAUUAACAAAACUGCAGCCAACGAUCAUAUGAUGAUUAAAGAAAUUUCCAACAUGCUCAUCAGGCUUCCACCUUCCAUGAUCAUAACAGCAGAUAAUAAUGGUACUGAAACUUUUGUUAGCAAACAACCCACCAACAGGUUUAUUUAAUUUUGUAAUUAAUAGUACAUGCCCGAGUGGUUGCAAAUAUAUAAAGAGAGUUAUCAACGUUUUACAUCAAACCCCCUACUGAUGGCGUAAUCCACGAAACCAUGAAACUCACCUAAGUCGAUGAAGCCAUCCUCAUUAGUAUCAUAAUGGGUGAGCACACGGCCGGCUCUAUAAUCAGGGAAAAAUCCACCAAGUUCACUGAAAGCUUCACUUAUCUCUUCCCUGCUCAGACGAUUGUCUUUGUUCUUGUCAAAUCGACUGAAUAGUUUCCUUAACUGCACAUCAGAAACUGGAACUCCUUUGUAUCUUACAAAAAUUCUCAUCUUAAUUUUGAUUAGGGUUUAGGUAGGUACUGGACUGAGGAUCAGUUUGUGCUGUGGCUUUGUAGACAUGGCAGACAAUGGUUUUAUAGAACAUCUUCACUGUGUCACUUAAGCUUCACAUUGUUCCUUCUUAUCUUCGUUAUCUUUAUUCUUUGAGGGAUACAAAUGUUGAUUCCACGCAUUUCAUCAAGAAAAGUUUCAAUAAAGUUAGUCUCACAUAUAUUAUGAGUCAAAUUAUUUUAAAAUAUUACUCUCUUUAUUUUAUAUUUUUUUUUUUCAUUUUAUUUUUUUAUACAUGUUAAAAAAUAUAAUUUUUUUAUUAUUU